CUUAAGUAGCUUAUAUUUAGAGCAUAAUAUUGAAGAUAUUAAGGAAAUUUAAAAUUCUUGAGUAU
This 65-nucleotide transfer RNA is filed under the name Ptilodactylidae sp. 2 ACP-2013. Its description in RNAcentral is "tRNA-Phe". Lineage: Eukaryota; Metazoa; Arthropoda; Insecta; Coleoptera; Ptilodactylidae. The record is from RNAcentral.